RNAcentral lists this long non-coding RNA (607 nucleotides) under Manacus vitellinus (golden-collared manakin). RNAcentral describes it as "lncRNA (ENSMVIG00005009529.1)". Lineage: Eukaryota; Metazoa; Chordata; Aves; Passeriformes; Pipridae. The record is from RNAcentral.
GGGACAGUCCCUCCUGUGAGGACACGGGAGGUUCCCAAGGGCAGGAAUUCGCUGCUGCUCCUGGGUGGUGUCCUCGGGGUUGGAUUUGGGGGGACGAGGGGGGUCUUGGCCUUGAUGGUCUUGGGGGUCUCUUCCAACCCUGGUGACUCGUUGGCAGUGGUUGACCUUGAUGGUCUUGGGGGUCUCUUCCAACCCUGGUAACUCGUUGGCAGUGGUUGACCUUGAUGGUCUUUGAGGUCUCUUCCAACCCUGGUAACUCGUUGGCAAUGGUUGACCUUGAUGACCUUUGAGGUCUCUUCCCACCUGGAUGACUUGGUGAUAAUGGUUGGACUCGAUGACCUUUGGAGGUCUCUUCCAACCCUGGUGACUCGUUGGCAAUGGUUGACCUUGAUGACCUUUGAGGUCUUUUCCCACCUGGAUGACUCGUUGGCAAUGGUUGGACUCGAUGACCUUGGAGGUCUCUUCCCACCUGGAUGACUCGGUGACAAUGGUUGGACUCGAUGACCUUGGAGGUCUCUUCCCCCCUGGAUGAUUCCAGGAUUCCUGAGGGGGGAAUCAGGACCCCCCCCCCGGUUGGGAUUUCCCGGCAGCCCCGGGCCUUGCUCCC